UACGAAGGGGGCUAGCGUUGCUCGGAUUGACUGGGCGUAAAGGGCGCGUAGGCGGUUCGUACAGUCAGACGUGAAAUUCCUGGGCUCAACCUGGGGGCUGCGUUUGAUACGUGCGGACUUGAGUGCGGAAGAGGGUCGUGGAAUUCCCAGUGUAGAGGUGAAAUUCGUAGAUAUUGGGAAGAACACCGGUGGCGAAGGCGGCGACCUGGUCCGAUGACUGACGCUGAGCGC
Molecule: ribosomal RNA, 231 nt
Filed under: uncultured bacterium
Lineage: Bacteria
Description: partial 16S ribosomal RNA
Rfam family: Bacterial small subunit ribosomal RNA
Source: RNAcentral